Molecule: ribosomal RNA, 468 nt
Filed under: uncultured bacterium
Lineage: Bacteria
Description: partial 16S ribosomal RNA
Rfam family: Bacterial small subunit ribosomal RNA
Source: RNAcentral
GACGAACGCUGUCGGCGUGCUUAACACAUGCAAGUCGAACGGAAAGGCCCUGCUUUUGUGGGGUGCUCGAGUGGCGAACGGGUGAGUAACACGUGAGUAACCUUCCCUUGACUUUGGGAUAACUUCAGGAAACUGGGGCUAAUACCGGAUAGGAGCUCCUGCUGCAUUGUGGGGGUUGGAAAUUUUCGGCGGUUGGGGAUGGACUCGCGGCUUAUCAGCUUGUUGGUGGGGUAGUGGCUUACCAAGGCUUUGACGGGUAGCCGGCCUGAGAGGGUGACCGGCCACAUUGGGACUGAGAUACGGCCCAGACUCCUACGGGAGGCAGAAGUGGGGAAUAUUGAACAAUGGGCGGAAGACUGAUGCAGCAACGCCGCGUGCGGGAUGAAGGCCUUCGGGUUGUAAACCGCUUUCGCCUGUGACGAAGCGUGAGUGACGGUAAUGGGUAAAGAAGCACCGGAUAACUACGUG